RNAcentral lists this long non-coding RNA (1174 nucleotides) under Gallus gallus (chicken). Its description in RNAcentral is "long non-coding RNA NONGGAT002070". The record is from RNAcentral. Lineage: Eukaryota; Metazoa; Chordata; Aves; Galliformes; Phasianidae.
CGGGAACCGUGUCGCGCUGCGUCGUUCUCCAGCGAAAACCGAUCAAGGGGACUGCACAAUCCUUUUGAAUGCUGUGCAAGGGACAACGGAAGGUCAGAGUGCAAAGAACAGGGGUCCUCAUACCUCCCUGCAAGCAAAUUCUUCUCAGUUAUCCCAGCCUUACUGUAUCAUGGAACACAUAACCUUCUCCCUUUCAGAUAUAUUUGAUUAUGAGAAAUUGAGUGAAACCACCCGAGCAGCAGUUUCAUCACUCUUGGAAGUGCAUCAGGGUUGCUGUCUCAGAGGCUGACUUUAACCUAGCCAAGUAUCUACGGAUGAACGCAGAGCCAGAUUUAUUUGUGCAUGUAUUUAUUUAAGUGCUCUAAUGGUGUUGCUUUGUUUGGGGACAACCAAACCUUGGUUCGUAGAGAAUAGCAACUGCAGACUUAGUGGCUUGCUGCAUACCCUUUACACACACUGCUGACUUGUGGAAAGAGAGCAGAUCGAUUUCCCUCCGAGCUGGCUGGAAGGUGCGGGCAGGAACACGUUCCUACCAGCUCGCUGGCCCCAGCCCGCGUGAGCCCACUUGCACGGCGAGACGCGGAGCAGCGGCCAUUUUGCUGUACGGUCCGGUACUCUGCGGUGCGGCGCGGCUCCCCGGGCGCUCUCCAUGGUGCUGUCGCGGGCGGGAGGCACUCGCGGCCCGGCACGGCCCUGCUCCCUUCGGGGCUCGCAAGUCUUCUCCCUCGGACUGCACCUCUGCUCCACUUCCCUUCCUUCUGGCAAGGGCACGGAGUCCUGAUUCCACGCCUUUGAAGAAAGCUCGAGCGAGCCAUGUUGGUUAACCCACGUGUGAAGGACCCGCAGACUGCUUUGUAUCUGGCCAUCACCCUUUGACCUGUAAAAAGAGUAUGUUUUUAUCUGGAAAUUAAGCUAGCGUCAACACAAACGAUAGGAAAAAAAAUGGCGUUUAGAAGUACUGACAUGAUUAACUUAAGGUUUUGAUGGACUUAAUUCAUUUCUUCAUCUCAUUUUUUCUCUGUGGAAUGCUGGUGUACACAGUUUAGCUGGGGGCAUAGUAUUCCAGUUCAACUACUGAGAAGCAUGAUUGCUGGAAUACAGUGAUUAUCAUUUCCUAUUACUCUUUUGUACAUAUUUUUUACAUAUUUAUAAUUUAAAAUAUAACUGUCCUAUA